RNAcentral lists this small nuclear RNA (116 nucleotides) under Hofstenia miamia. RNAcentral's name for it is "U5 spliceosomal RNA". It matches the Rfam family "U5 spliceosomal RNA". Rfam says of the family: U5 RNA is a component of both types of known spliceosome. The precise function of this molecule is unknown, though it is known that the 5' loop is required for splice site selection and p220 binding, and that both the 3' stem-loop and the Sm site are important for Sm protein binding and cap methylation. Lineage: Eukaryota; Metazoa; Xenacoelomorpha; Acoela; Hofsteniidae. The record is from RNAcentral.
UUACUCUGUUUUCUGAUCAGAGCGAUAUUUAUCUUUCGCCUUUUACUAAAGAUAACCGUUAAUCAGAAAUCUAUUGAGACUUCUGGAUUCUUUACCUGCUCUACUUUCGUAGAGUG